This 99-nucleotide signal recognition particle RNA is filed under the name Candidatus Fimenecus excrementavium. RNAcentral's name for it is "signal recognition particle sRNA small type". It matches the Rfam family "Bacterial small signal recognition particle RNA". From Rfam's summary of the family: The signal recognition particle (SRP) is a universally conserved ribonucleoprotein involved in the co-translational targeting of proteins to membranes. The record is from RNAcentral. Lineage: Bacteria; Bacillati; Bacillota; Clostridia.
GUGUGGGUCCUGUGCGACAGCGCUCCGUGAACCAUGUCAGGCGGGGAACCGAGCAGCAUUAAGCGGUCAGCGAGGUGCGCCGCAGUCCGCCUGCACGGU